This 276-nucleotide ribosomal RNA is filed under the name uncultured bacterium. RNAcentral describes it as "partial 16S ribosomal RNA". It matches the Rfam family "Bacterial small subunit ribosomal RNA", at positions 524 to 794 of the family's 1533-position model. The record is from RNAcentral.
UACGAAGGGGGCUAGCGUUGCUCGGAAUUACUGGGCGUAAAGCGCACGUAGGCGGAUUGUUAAGUCGGGGGGUGAAAUCCUGGAGCUCAACUCCAGAACUGCCUUCGAUACUGGCGAUCUCGAGUUCGGGAGAGGUGAAUGGAACUGCGAGUGUAGAGGUGAAAUUCGUAGAUAUUCGCAAGAACACCAGUGGCGAAGGCGGCUCACUGGAUCGGUACUGACGCUGAGGUGCGAAAGCGUGGGGAGCAAACAGGGAUUAAGAAACCCUAGUAACGU